This 425-nucleotide ribosomal RNA is filed under the name uncultured bacterium. RNAcentral describes it as "partial 16S ribosomal RNA". It matches the Rfam family "Bacterial small subunit ribosomal RNA", at positions 354 to 796 of the family's 1533-position model. The record is from RNAcentral.
GUGGGGAAUCUUGCGCAAUGGGCGAAAGCCUGACGCAGCCAUGCCGCGUGAAUGAUGAAGGUCUUAGGAUUGUAAAAUUCUUUCACCGGGGACGAUAAUGACGGUACCCGGAGAAGAAGCCCCGGCUAACUUCGUGCCAGCAGCCGCGGUAAUACGAAGGGGGCUAGCGUUGCUCGGAAUUACUGGGCGUAAAGGGCGCGUAGGCGGACAGUUUAGUCAGAGGUGAAAGCCCAGGGCUCAACCUUGGAAUUGCCUUUGAUACUGGCUGUCUUGAGUACGGGAGAGGUGAGUGGAACUCCGAGUGUAGAGGUGAAAUUCGUAGAUAUUCGGAAGAACACCAGUGGCGAAGGCGGCUCACUGGUCUGGUACUGACGCUGAGGUGCGAAAGCGUGGGGAGCAAACAGGAUUAGAAACCCCGGUAGUCC